Molecule: ribosomal RNA, 497 nt
Filed under: uncultured bacterium
Lineage: Bacteria
Description: partial 16S ribosomal RNA
Rfam family: Bacterial small subunit ribosomal RNA
Source: RNAcentral
AAUGAACGCUGGCGGCGUGCCUAACACAUGCAAGUCGAGCGAACGCACGAGAAGCUUUCUUCUCUGAUUUUAGCGGCGGGCGGGUGAGUAACAUGUGUAUAACCUACCUAUAAGACUGGGGUAACUUCGGGAAACCGGUGCUUAUACCGGAUAAUCUUUUGAACCGCAUGGUUCAAGAGUUAAAGACGGUCUUGCUUUCGCUUAUAGCUGAAUCCGCGCGGCAUUAGCUAGUUGGUAGGGUAACGGCUUACCCAGGCAACGAUUCAUAGCCGACCUGAGAGGGUGAUCGGCCACACUGGAACUGAGACACGGUCCAGACUCCUACGGGAGGCAGCAGUAGGGAAUAUUGCGCAAUGGGCGAAAGCCUGACGGAGCAACGCCGCGUGAGUGAUGAAGGUCUUCGGAUCGUAAAGUUCUGUUAGUAGGGAGGAAGGUAUGUGUAUGUAACUGUGCACAUAUUGACGGUACCUGAUGAAAAAGCCACGGCUAACUACGUG